Molecule: small nuclear RNA, 102 nt
Organism: Macaca fascicularis (crab-eating macaque)
Lineage: Eukaryota; Metazoa; Chordata; Mammalia; Primates; Cercopithecidae
Source: Ensembl
CAGUACAUAUACUAAAAUUGGAACAUUGGAACCAUAACAGAGAAGAUUAGCAUGGCUCCUGCAAAAGAUGACAGGCAAAUUCAUCAAGCAUUCCUCUUAUUA